RNAcentral lists this ribosomal RNA (714 nucleotides) under Salmonella enterica subsp. enterica serovar Enteritidis. Its description in RNAcentral is "partial 23S ribosomal RNA". It matches the Rfam family "Bacterial large subunit ribosomal RNA", at positions 161 to 917 of the family's 2925-position model. The record is from RNAcentral. Lineage: Bacteria; Pseudomonadati; Pseudomonadota; Gammaproteobacteria; Enterobacterales; Enterobacteriaceae.
AAUCCAUAGGUUAAUGAGGCGAACCGGGGGAACUGAAACAUCUAAGUACCCCGAGGAAAAGAAAUCAACCGAGAUUCCCCCAGUAGCGGCGAGCGAACGGGGAGGAGCCCAGAGCCUGAAUCAGCAUGUGUGUUAGUGGAAGCGUCUGGAAAGGCGCGCGAUACAGGGUGACAGCCCCGUACACAAAAGCGCAUGUGCUGUGAGCUCGAUGAGUAGGGCGGGACACGUGGUAUCCUGUCUGAAUAUGGGGGGACCAUCCUCCAAGGCUAAAUACUCCUGACUGACCGAUAGUGAACCAGUACCGUGAGGGAAAGGCGAAAAGAACCCCGGCGAGGGGAGUGAAAAAGAACCUGAAACCGUGUACGUACAAGCAGUGGGAGCACCCUUUGGGUGUGACUGCGUACCUUUUGUAUAAUGGGUCAGCGACUUAUAUUCUGUAGCAAGGUUAACCGAAUAGGGGAGCCGGAGGGAAACCGAGUCUUAAUUGGGCGUUAAGUUGCAGGGUAUAGACCCGAAACCCGGUGAUCUAGCCAUGGGCAGGUUGAAGGUUGGGUAACACUAACUGGAGGACCGAACCGACUAAUGUUGAAAAAUUAGCGGAUGACCUGUGGCUGGGGGUGAAAGGCCAAUCAAACCGGGAGAUAGCUGGUUCUCCCCGAAAGCUAUUUAGGUAGCGCCUCGUGAAUUCAUCUCCGGGGGUAGAGCACUGUUUCG